Molecule: ribosomal RNA, 468 nt
Filed under: uncultured bacterium
Lineage: Bacteria
Description: partial 16S ribosomal RNA
Rfam family: Bacterial small subunit ribosomal RNA (bases 58-468)
Source: RNAcentral
GGGGGGGGGGGGGGGCGGGGGGGGGGCGGGGGGGGCGGGGGGGGGGGCCCUGCUUGGGUGGGGUGCUCGGGUGGCGAACGGGUGAGUACCCCGUGAGUAACCUGCCCUUGACUUUGGGAUAACUUCAGGAAACUGGGGCUAAUACCGGCUAGGCGCUCCUGCUGCAUGGUGGGGGUGGGAAAGUUUCGGCGGUUGGGGAUGGACUCGCGGCUUAUCAGCUUGUUGGUGGGGUAGUGGCUUACCAAGGCUUUGACGGGUAGCCGGCCUGAGAGGGUGACCGGCCACAUUGGGACUGAGAUACGGCCCAGACUCCUACGGGAGGCAGCAGUGGGGAAUAUUGCACAAUGGGCGGAAGCCUGAUGCAGCAACGCCGCGUGCGGGAUGACGGCCUUCGGGUUGUAAACCGCUUUCGCCUGUGACGAAGCGUGAGUGACGGUAAUGGGUAAAGAAGCACCGGCUAACUACGUG